GGCUCGAGUGGCGAACGGGUGAGUAACACGUGAGUAACCUGCCCUUGACUUUGGGAUAACUUCAGGAAACUGGGGCUAAUACCGGAUAGGAGCUCCUGCUGCAUGGUGGGGGUUGGAAAGUUUCGGCGGUUGGGGAUGGACUCGCGGCUUAUCAGCUUGUUGGUGGGGUAGUGGCUUACCAAGGCUUUGACGGGUAGCCGGCCUGAGAGGGUGACCGGCCACAUUGGGACUGAGAUACGGCCCAG
RNAcentral lists this ribosomal RNA (245 nucleotides) under uncultured Actinomycetales bacterium. Its description in RNAcentral is "partial 16S ribosomal RNA". It matches the Rfam family "Bacterial small subunit ribosomal RNA", at positions 88 to 334 of the family's 1533-position model. Lineage: Bacteria; Bacillati; Actinomycetota; Actinomycetes; Actinomycetales. The record is from RNAcentral.